GUCCAUAUGGCAUAAUCAACGAGUUUUAAGGGUACUCAGUUGGGACGAAAUCUGUAUAUAUCACUUUUUGACCUAGUUUUUGGUACAUUGUAAUAUCCAAGGCUGUUAUCUUCAUUCGAUGUUUUAUUUGUUUUGUCUUUUCUAGAAGACGUUUCAGUAUUUCACCGGAUGCUAUUUAAAUUUUUGCAAGACUUCGAUUCACGUACCCUAACA
Molecule: long non-coding RNA, 213 nt
Filed under: Mytilus galloprovincialis (Mediterranean mussel)
Lineage: Eukaryota; Metazoa; Mollusca; Bivalvia; Mytilida; Mytilidae
Source: RNAcentral